RNAcentral lists this unclassified non-coding RNA (154 nucleotides) under Mortierella sp. RNAcentral's name for it is "partial internal transcribed spacer region". The stretch from base 1 to 46 matches the Rfam family "Eukaryotic small subunit ribosomal RNA", at positions 1786 to 1831 of the family's 1831-position model. The record is from RNAcentral. Lineage: Eukaryota; Fungi; Mortierellomycota; Mortierellomycetes; Mortierellales; Mortierellaceae.
AAGUCGUAGCAAGGUUUCCGUAGGCGAACCUGCGGAAAGAUCACUCAUAAUAAGUUUUACCAAACAUCAACUUAUUUUCUAACUCUUUGUCUGAAAAAUAUUAUGAAUAAAAUAAUUCAAAAUACAACUUUCAACAAUGGAUCCCUUGGCUCUC